Non-coding RNA from Callithrix jacchus (white-tufted-ear marmoset), 3372 nucleotides. NCBI's taxonomy places the organism in Eukaryota, Metazoa, Chordata, Mammalia, Primates, Cebidae. The record is from RefSeq and is a predicted model, not a curated record.
UUUCGCUGUAGUUCCGGGCCGUGUUCCGGAAACCGCGCGAGACAAAAGUGACCUAGAGGCAGACAAAAGCGAGCGAGAGACGGAAAAGGAAGAAGCUUCCUGAAGGUGGCGUAAGAGUGAGGGAUCCUGACUUGUCGUAAGUAAAGAACGUCAUCACUUUCUGAUAGGCCCAGGAACCCCACGUUUUCUUGGAACCUCAAAAAGAGAGGCAUUCACCCAAUUCAAACAGCUGGACAGCUUACAUUUUGGAAGAAAAUAACAGCAACCCAUUUAUAAGCCAUUUUCAUACCUGCGAUCUGAGGUUAAGAACCAGUAACAGUUUGUAAUAUGACGAUUGCCUCUAAAUGUUUCCUGGAAGGGGUGGUGGAGGAAGAAAACAGCAAAGUUGUGAGCUUCUGCACAGGAAAAGAAACAAUCAACAAAGUAAACUGACAACCUGCAGAAUGGGAAAAAUAUUUGCAAACUAUGCAUCUGAUGAAAAGCUACCAUCUGGAAUCUACAAAAAAUUCAAACAACUCAACAAGAAAAAAACAAAUAACCCCAUUAAAAAGUGGGCAAAGGACAUGGACAGACAUUUUUCAAAAGAAGACAUACAAGACAACAAACAGGAAAGAAUGUCCAGCAUGACUAACCAGAGAAAUGCAAAUUAAAACCACAGUAAGAUACCAUCUUACACCAAUCAGAAUGACUAUUACUUAAGAGUCUAAAAACAAUAGAUGUUGGUGAGGAUGCAGAGAUAAGGGAAUGCUUAUCUACUGUUGGAGGGAAUGUAAAUUAGUACGACCUUUGUGGAAAACAGUAUGGAGAUUUCUCAAAGAACUCAAAAAAUAGAACUACCAUUUGAUUCAAGAAUGCCAUUAUUUGGUAUAUAUCCAAAGGGAAAGAAAUCAUUAUAUCAAAAAGAUUUUCCUAGCAGCUUCCAUGCUAUUCCAAGCAUUCAGAUGUUUAUCACAGCAGUAUUCACAAUAGCAAAGAUAUGGAAUCAACCUAAGUGUCCAUCAAUGGAGGACUGGAUAGAGAAAAUGGGACACACACACACACACACACACACACACACCAUGGAAUAGUACUACGCAAUAAAAAAUAAAAUCAUGUCUUGUGCAGCAACAUGGAUGGAGCUGGAGGCCAUUAUUCUAAAUGAAAUAACUCAGAAACAAAAAAAUCAAAUACCACAUAUUCUCACUUACCAGUGGGAGAUAAACAGUGGGUACCAUGGAUAUGCAGGGUGGAAUAAUAGACACUAGAGACGACAAAAGGUGGGAGGGGCCAUGCCCAGUAACUCAUGCCUGUAAUCCCAGCACUUUGGGAGACCAAGGCAAGCAGAUUACUUGAGGCCAGGAGUUCAAGGCCAGCCUGGCUAAAUACUAUCUCUAUUAAAAAUAAAAAAAUUAGCUGGGCGUGGUGGCAGGCACAUGUAAUCCCAGCCACUAGGGAAGCUGAAGCACAAGAAUCGCUUGAACCUGGGAGGCAGAGGUUGCAGUGAGCCAAGACUGCACCACUGCGAUCCAACCUGGUUGACAGUGAGACUCUGACUCAAACAAACAAACAAAAAGGUGGGAAGAUGAGAUGGGGGGAAGGUAGUGAGGGAGUGAAGACUGAACAAUUGCCUACUGGGUAUGAUGUUAUAUUUGGGUGAUUGGUACACUAAAAGCCCAGGCCUCACCACUAUGCAAUAUAUGUGUGUAAGAAACCUGUACUUGUAUCCCCCAAAUAAAUAAAAAUGUUAAAAAUUCAACUAUAUUUAAAUAGGGAGCUGGAGGCCAUUAUCUUAAAUAAACUAACUCAGAAACAAAAAGUCAAAUGUCACAUAUUCUCAGUUCUGAGGGGGAGUUAAACAAUGGGUACCACGGAAAUGUAGAGUGGAAUAAUAGACAUUGGAGACUACAGAAGGUGGGAGGGGCCAGGCAUAGUGGCUCCGGCCUGUAAUCCCAAUAGCAGGGAAACUAUGUUUAUUGAGUAAGUGCUAAACAAAUAUUUAUUGAAUGCAUUCAGGCAUUACUUAAUUUCAUUUUUAAGAAACUAAAAAGCAUAUUUGGAUUUUUAAGCAAUGUGUUUAUUUAUUUUUUAUUAAAUAGUACAUUCUGUGUAUGUUUUACACACACUUAAAUUCCCAAUUAUGUCGUGAAUGUUUUCCCCACAUUUUGGUUUACAUUAAGUGUUGCUUAAUAUGUUUUUGACUGAUUAAAAAUUUUUAUUUUUAUUUCUGUGUAGCAAAUCAAAUAAUAUUUUCUCUACGCAUCAUAUCUUUGGUGUUUUCUGAAAAAGACUUUAUUCUGAGGGCAACUAUUCACUAUCAAUUGUAGGAAGUAAUUUAGAAAGUAAGGGUCAAACUCAUUUUCUCUCAAAUUCUUAAUAUUGAAGGAUCAUUUCCUAAGUGAUUUAAAAUUCCAACUUCAUUAUAUCAAAGUAAUACUUUGGUAAUAGUAAUCCUAAAGCUAGGAAUUAUUGGUGCUUAUUGUGUUAAUCAUUUAAUAUGCAUUAGCCUGCUUAAAAAUUAUAAUGCUUUUAGCAUCUUGUAUUAUGUGUUAUGUCAUCAUCAUUAUCUCUGCUUUACAACCAAGGAAACAGGAGCUAAGAGAAAUUAAUAAAACUCAUACAUUUUAAGUUUGUUUCUGAAAUCAUGCUUUCUGGUCAUUGUUGCAUCAAAACAUUGAUUAGUAGGUGCUUUGAUUAUUAUAGCUUCAUCAUUUUCACAUCAAGUAGAAGGAUGGACCAACUUUUUGAAUAUAGGUUUCUGUUUGACAUGUUCUCCAUACACAAUCUAACCUAGUUUUCAUCCCUGGUGUUUUUUUUUUUUUUUUCACAUUUUUCCAGUUGAAAUAGCAGCUUAAAAACUCCAACAGAUCCAAUCACAGCUACUUUUGAAUUUGUUGAGCUCUCAUAGCAAAAUAAAUUCUUGGAGGUCUGCUUCUUGUCUGUAUCAUGAGGAAUGCCUUGGAUCUCCUUGACUCGCUCUCUGAAAUACCAGCUACCCUAAAGGAGGAAAGUGGCAGGUUGGUUUUGGUGAUUUAACUUUACCUGUGCCCACAUGCAGUAUAUCUAACAGACUUCCCUAGAGUUUCUAGCAUGUAUGAACUAUUCAUCCCUAUUUUCUAAUCCCAAGGUAUUUGUUUUUUAAUUUUUGUAUUCUUUUGGUCAUUUCAGUGAGGAUUUGGAUGUACAAUAGGAAAUUAUAUGUUUAUAUAAACACAAAAUUAUCUUGUAAGGAUGAGUAAGUAUAGGCAGAAAAGAGGAUAAGGCAUUCUAGGUAGGAAAAUAAUACAUGGCCAAGUAUAAGAGUAAGAAAGAAGUCUGGAACUGAUGUGGUUGCAAUUAGAAAGACAUAAUUUGGAAAACUGGAAUCAGCUUGUGAUUUUGUAUGCCCAAGUGAGA